RNAcentral lists this ribosomal RNA (253 nucleotides) under uncultured bacterium. RNAcentral's name for it is "partial 16S ribosomal RNA". It matches the Rfam family "Bacterial small subunit ribosomal RNA", at positions 524 to 776 of the family's 1533-position model. The record is from RNAcentral.
UACAGAGGUCUCAAGCGUUGUUCGGAUUCAUUGGGCGUAAAGGGUGUGUAGGUGGCGCGCUAAGUCGGGUGUGAAAUUUCGGAGCUUAACUCCGAAACUGCAUUCGAUACUGGCGUGCUUGAGGACUGGAGAGGAGACUGGAAUUCAUGGUGUAGCAGUGAAAUGCGUAGAGAUCAUGAGGAAGACCAGUGGCGAAGGCAGCUCGCUACACUAUUAUUGACACUGAGGCACGAAAGCGUGGGGAUCAAACAGG